Molecule: ribosomal RNA, 566 nt
Filed under: uncultured Dehalococcoides sp.
Lineage: Bacteria; Bacillati; Chloroflexota; Dehalococcoidia; Dehalococcoidales; Dehalococcoidaceae
Description: bacterial SSU rRNA
Rfam family: Bacterial small subunit ribosomal RNA
Source: RNAcentral
ACUCCUACGGGAGGCAGCAGUGAGGAAUAUUGCACAAUGGGCGAAAGCCUGAUGCAGCAACGCCGCGUGAGGGACGAAGGCCUCCGGGUCGUAAACCUCUUUUCUGGGGGAAGAGACAAGGACGGUACCUCAGGAAUAAGUCUCGGCUAACUACGUGCCAGCAGCCGCGGUAAAACGUAGGAGGCGAGCGUUAUCCGGAUUUACUGGGCGUAAAGCGCACGCAGGCGGCUCCGUUAGUCGGAUGUGAAAGCUCCUGGCUUAACUAGGAGAGGCCAUUCGAUACUGCGGGGCUUGAGGUUGGGAGAGGGGUGUGGAAUUCCCGGUGUAGUGGUGGAAUGCGUAGAUAUCGGGAGGAACACCAGUGGCGAAGGCGGCACCCUGGCCCACACCUGACGCUGAGGUGCGAAAGCGUGGGUAGCAAACAGGAUUAGAUACCCUGGUAGUCCACGCUGUAAACUAUGUUAACUAGGUGUUGGUAGUGCUACACUAUCAGUGCCGAAGCAAACGCGUUAAGUUGACCGCCUGGGGACUACGGCCGCAAGGCUAAAACUCAAAUGAAUUGACGG